GAGGAUUUGGUUCCCCUGUAGCUCGAACCCACCCUGGGAAAAAGCCUGGCCGUCAUCCUUUCUCCACUGCACGGUGUCAGCGAAUGGACUUCUGCCAGAAGCCCUGUCGUUUUUAUGCCCGGCCUGCUACUAGCACAAAAGGGGAAACUCCAGUGAUGUCACCCAGUGAGUGGAGACAUAGCAGAGCAGCAGCAGCAAACUGGCUGUGGAGAGUUGGUUAUGGUUCAAAGGAAAAUAAAAUCCACAGACCAGCUCCACCAAACUGGGAUUCCAAUGGAACUGGUUUCGUACAUCACCCUUUCCAAACCACCAAACAGGUUUUUGACUUCUCCUUGUUGACCCAAUCUGGCUUCCUUAUUUCGCUGCCCUCCCUGACUGGUUGAGCGAGUUCGGAGCACAACACGGUUUAUUUGUGGGAUUUCCAUCACCCAUACACUACCUGAUCUGAGUUUUGUUUGCAUAUUGUUUCAUCUAAUUCCUGUUUCUGUUAAAUCAGUUAUCAAUUAGUGAUAAACAAGCACUGUAUACCUUCAAACAUGGUUACAACUCUCAUUUUGAUAUCAUAUUUGGAARGUAUUUGCAUCCAUAGCUCUGUCUAUGAAUUUGAGAGUGGUUAUACUUAAGUUUGAAUUCUCUGUUGUUUCUUGCUUUCUUCUUGUCACGUUCCUGACCUUAUUUCCUUUGUUCAGUCUUGUUUAGUUGGUCAGGACGUGAGCUGG
Salvelinus sp. IW2-2015 is the source of this 719-nucleotide long non-coding RNA. RefSeq lists it as uncharacterized. The record is from RefSeq and is a predicted model, not a curated record. Lineage: Eukaryota; Metazoa; Chordata; Actinopteri; Salmoniformes; Salmonidae.